AUACUAGACAUGUAAAUUACAUACUUUCUUUAAGGAGUAAUUAUAAGUUGAGCACGUGAUAAUCAUUUAUAUUACAAGCUUCAUUGUAUUUUUAAGGUUAGUAAGAUGGUGGAGACGGAAGCAGCUGUGGCGGGUUGGCUGCAAUAUGUUGAAAUAGCUAGCUAUUUAUAUUUAAAAAAAUAUGUCAUAUAUUUUGAGUAUGUAAAAUGCUAGUUAAAGAUAUAUUAUAUGAUAUUAUUAUUAUGCAAUAA
Salvia miltiorrhiza (redroot sage) is the source of this 251-nucleotide long non-coding RNA. RefSeq lists it as uncharacterized. The record is from RefSeq and is a predicted model, not a curated record. NCBI's taxonomy places the organism in Eukaryota, Viridiplantae, Streptophyta, Magnoliopsida, Lamiales, Lamiaceae. The transcript has 2 exons.